Molecule: ribosomal RNA, 553 nt
Filed under: uncultured Glomeromycotina
Lineage: Eukaryota; Fungi; Glomeromycota
Description: SSU rRNA
Rfam family: Eukaryotic small subunit ribosomal RNA
Source: RNAcentral
UUGGAGGGCAAGUCUGGUGCCAGCAGCCGCGGUAAUUCCAGCUCCAAUAGCGUAUAUUAAAGUUGUUGCAGUUAAAAAGCUCGUAGUUGAAUUUCGGGAUUGACACAUCGGUCGUGCCUUAAGGGGUAUGAACUGGUGUAGUCAGUUUCUCACCUUCUGGAGAACCGCGAUGUCCUUAAUUGGGUGCCGCGAGGAACCAGGACCUUUACUUUGAAAAAAUUAGAGUGUUUAAAGCAGGCAUUUUGCUUGAAUACAUUAGCAUGGAAUAAUAAAAUAGGACGGAUGGUUCUAUUUUGUUGGUUUCUAGGAUCACCGUAAUGAUUAAUAGGGAUAGUUGGGGGCAUUAGUAUUCAAUUGUCAGAGGUGAAAUUCUUGGAUUUAUUGAAGACUAACUACUGCGAAAGCAUUUGCCAAGGAUGUUUUCAUUAAUCAAGACGAAAGUUAGGGGAUCGAAGACGAUCCGAUACCGUCGUAGUCUUAACCAUAAACUAUGCCGACUAGGGAUCGGAUGAUGUUAAUUUUUUAAUGACUCAUUCGGCGCCUUACGGGAAAC